RNAcentral lists this ribosomal RNA (443 nucleotides) under uncultured bacterium. RNAcentral describes it as "partial 16S ribosomal RNA". It matches the Rfam family "Bacterial small subunit ribosomal RNA", at positions 331 to 792 of the family's 1533-position model. The record is from RNAcentral.
CCAGACUCCUACGGGAGGCAGCAGUGGGGGAUAUUGCACAAUGGAGGAAACUCUGAUGCAGCGACGCCGCGUGAGGGAAGACGGUCUUCGGAUUGUAAACCUCUGUCUUUGGGGAAGAAAAUGACGGUACCCAAAGAGGAAGCUCCGGCUAACUACGUGCCAGCAGCCGCGGUAAUACGUGGGGAGCGAGCGUUGUCCGGAAUUACUGGGUGUAAAGGGAGCGUAGGCGGGCGAGAAAGUUGAAUGUUAAAUCUACCGGCUUAACUGGUAGCUGCGUUCAAAACUUCUUGUCUUGAGUGAAGUAGAGGCAGGCGGAAUUCCUAGUGUAGCGGUGAAAUGCGUAGAUAUCACGAAGAACCCCGAUUGCGAAGGCAGCAUACCGGCUCCACACUGACGCUGAGGCACGAAAGCGUGGGUAUCGAACAGGAUUAGAUACCCUAGUA